UCCAGGUUGAUCCUGCCGGACCUGACUGCUAUCGGAUUGGUACUAAGCCAUGCGAGUCGUUGUACAAUACAAGGCGGACUGCUCAGUAACACGUAGUUAACUUAACCUAUGGAUGGGGAUAACCUCGGGAAACUGAGAAUAAUACCCAAUGGACCACAGUGCCUGGAAUGGCCUGUGGUUGAAAUGAUUUAUCGCCGUAGGAUAGGACUGCGGCCUAUCAGCUUGUUGGUGAGGUAAUGGCCACCAAGGCUAUAACAGGUACGGGCUCUGAGAGGAGGGGCCCGGAGAUGGGUACUGAGACACGGACCCAGGCCCUAUGGGGCGCAGCAGGCGAGAAACCUUUGCAAUGUGCGAAAGCACGACAAGGUUAAUCCGAGUGUCUCCUGCUAAAGGAGUCUUUUGUCUGUUGUAGAAUCACUGGUGAAUAAGGGGUGGGCAAGUUCUGGUGUCAGCCGCCGCGGUAAAACCAGCACCUCGAGUGGUCAGGAGGUUUAUUGGGCCUAAAGCAUCCGUAGCCGGUUGCAUAAGUUUUCGGUUAAAUCUAUGCGCUUAACGUAUAGG
This 561-nucleotide ribosomal RNA is filed under the name uncultured archaeon. Its description in RNAcentral is "bacterial SSU rRNA". It matches the Rfam family "Archaeal small subunit ribosomal RNA", at positions 1 to 570 of the family's 1478-position model. The record is from RNAcentral.